CCUACGGGAGGCAGCAGUGAGGAAUAUUGGUCAAUGUACGCGAGUCUGAACCAGCCAAGUAGCGUGAAGGCUGACUGCCCUACGGGUUGUAAACUUCUUUUAUCUGGGAAUAAAACGUUCCACGUGUGGGCUUUUGUAUGUACCAUAUGAAUAAGGAUCGGCUAACUCCGUGCCAGCCGCCGCGGUAAUACGGAGAAUCCGAGCGUUAUCCGGAUUUAUUGGGUUUAAAGGGAGCGUAGGUGGGUUGUUAAGUCAGUUGUGAAAGUUUGCGGCUCAACCGUAAAAUUGCAGUUGAAACUGGCAGUCUUGAGGACAGUAGAGGUGGGCGGAAUGCGUGGUGUAGCGGUGAAAUGCUUAGAUAUCACGAAGAACUCCGAUUGCGAAGGCAGUUCACUGGACUGCAACUGACACUGAGGCUCGAAAGUGUGGGUAUCAAACAGGAUUAGAUACCCUUGUAGUC
Molecule: ribosomal RNA, 460 nt
Filed under: uncultured bacterium
Lineage: Bacteria
Description: partial 16S ribosomal RNA
Rfam family: Bacterial small subunit ribosomal RNA
Source: RNAcentral